UCCGGUUUGUCACCGGCAGUCCCACUAGAGUGCCCAACUGAAUGUAGCAACUAAUGGCGAGGGUUGCGCUCGUUGCGGGACUUAACCCAACAUCUCACGACACGAGCUGACGACAGCCAUGCAGCACCUGUGUUACGGCUCCCUUUCGGGCACACCCAGCUCUCGCUGGGCUUCCGUACAUGUCAAGGGUAGGUAAGGUUAUUCGCGUUGCAUCGAAUUAAUCCACAUCAUCCACCGCUUGUGCGGGUCCCCGUCAAUUCCUUUGAGUUUUAAUCUUGCGACCGUACUCCCCAGGCGGACAACUUCACGCGUUAGCUGCGGUACUGAGAAAUCAUCGUUUACAGUGCGGACUAC
Molecule: unclassified non-coding RNA, 354 nt
Filed under: uncultured Gammaproteobacteria bacterium
Lineage: Bacteria; Pseudomonadati; Pseudomonadota; Gammaproteobacteria
Description: contains 16S-23S intergenic spacer region
Source: RNAcentral